Molecule: non-coding RNA, 163 nt
Filed under: chicken gut metagenome
Description: Lysine riboswitch
Rfam family: Lysine riboswitch aptamer
About the family: Riboswitches are metabolite binding domains within certain messenger RNAs that serve as precision sensors for their corresponding targets. Allosteric rearrangement of mRNA structure is mediated by ligand binding, and this results in modulation of gene expression.
Source: RNAcentral
CAGAUAGAGGCGCGGGCUUCAUGAGUAGCCCUCGGCAAGGCCAGGCAGCCGCCGGGGAGGAAAGGGGAGACCGCCGAAGCAGAGCGCUGCUGCCUGGCGGCCUUCUGCUGGGUCGAAGGAGAAGAUCCUUCGGACUGUCACAAGUUUUGUGAAGCGCUAUCGA